Molecule: ribosomal RNA, 206 nt
Filed under: uncultured bacterium
Lineage: Bacteria
Description: partial 16S ribosomal RNA
Rfam family: Bacterial small subunit ribosomal RNA
Source: RNAcentral
CGCGCAGGCGGCGUCGUAAGUCGGUCUUAAAAGUGCGGGACUUAACCCCGUGAGGGGACCGAAACUGCGAUGCUAGAGUAUCGGAGAGGAAAGCGGAAUUCCUAGUGUAGCGGUGAAAUGCGUAGAUAUUAGGAGGAACACCAGUGGCGAAAGCGGCUUUCUGGACGACAACUGACGCUGAGGCGCGAAAGCCAGGGGAGCAAACG